This 497-nucleotide ribosomal RNA is filed under the name uncultured bacterium. Its description in RNAcentral is "partial 16S ribosomal RNA". It matches the Rfam family "Bacterial small subunit ribosomal RNA", at positions 28 to 507 of the family's 1533-position model. The record is from RNAcentral.
GACGAACGCUGGCGGCGUGCCUAAUACAUGCAAGUAGAACGCUGAAGAGAGGAGCUUGCUCUUCUUGGGUGAGUUGCGAACGGGUGAGUAACGCGUAGGUAACCUGCCUUGUAGCGGGGGAUAACUAUUGGAAACGAUAGCUAAUACCGCAUAACAAUGGAUGACACAUGUCAUUUAUUUGAAAGGGGCAAUUGCUCCACUACAAGAUGGACCUGCGUUGUAUUAGCUAGUAGGUGAGGUAAUGGCUCACCUAGGCGACGAUACAUAGCCGACCUGAGAGGGUGAUCGGCCACACUGGGACUGAGACACGGCCCAGACUCCUACGGGAGGCAGCAGUAGGGAAUCUUCGGCAAUGGGGGCAACCCUGACCGAGCAACGCCGCGUGAGUGAAGAAGAUUUUCGGAUCGUAAAGCUCUGUUGUAAGUCAAGAACGGGUGUGAGAGUGGAAAGUUCACACUGUGACGGUAGCUUACCAGAAAGGGACGGCUAACUACGUG